GCUUUGGAAAGAAAACAACAAGAAGGCGAUGAAUUCAAGACUCAAAGAGAGACAUGCUCAGGAGUCGCACGGAAACCAAGUGUCCAUCCAUGAAGGGCCGAGGAUGUAAGAGAACUCAUCACAGAGCAGGGCCAAUCCACACAACAAGCGUAUUAGUUUCCCUCCUAAGCCCAUAGAUUCAACGGCCCUUUGAAGGCAACCAUAAAGCAGAUGUGAACCUCCAUGAAAAUGAGUUGGACACUCCUGCCCUAAAAGCCAGAGAGGGAAAUCUUUGGACCCUGAGGAGAAGAGCAAUGGGGAGGAUAAGAGGUAUAGACAAUAAGUCACAUGAGUCAAAGUUGGAGAAGACUGGAGCCACUCUUCAAAAAUCUCAAGAUUUAUCUUAUGGAGGAAGGAGAUGUCUUGUUCUCUGCAUAAGAUGAAAUCUAAUGUUUUAAGUUACCGGAGGAUAGUUUCAAUGGAACACCAGGAGACAGAGAAAGAGCUUUCACGAUGGAACCAAGUCUUCUUCUUUAGAUGUUCUUCAAAAAGAGGGAUGUUCUACACUGAACCUAGGGGCUCUCUCGCAAUUCUAGGACGCUAACUCAAUGCGUCAAAAAGAACUAGUUCCAGUGCUAUCAUUCCGAACACCAUUCAUUCCACCAGCCUUUUCCCAUAACAGCGGAAAAUCUCAGCCAGUUCUCCCAGUACAAAAACACAGAAAGGGAAGAAAAGCAUGGUUAAUGGGGAGAAAUGUGAACAUGCAGGUUAAGAUUGCCUGUGAUGAUGAUGAUGAUGAUGAUGCAUGUCUUGGAAGGAGCGCAAAGAGGACACAAGUGCGUGUUAGUAGUGGGAGGUGUUUAGAGCAUCCACCACACUUUUUGCCAAAAUACCUGGACCCAAACUGGACACCAGAAAAAUCCUCCUCUUCCUCCUCCUCCUCCUCCUCCUCGUCCUCCUUUUCUUCAUCAGAACUGUCCCCAGAGACAUCGGAAACGGCAAGGAGGAGGGAGAAAGGGUUCUCGUACAGACUAUUGCAACAAAAGCAAAGACGGACUGGUGAUUGUGAGAGAGAUGAAGGGGAAAAGGAAGCUGGGGAAGAGCAAGGUUCUCAUCUUGCCAACUGAAUGCUCACUGCAAGCACACGGCACACCAAGAAGACCCGAAAGAAGAACGCCAUUAACACAGAAAUCAGUUUCAAAGCAGGGAACUUCUCCGGUAGAGACUAGGAGGCAGAGGAGACCUUUUAUGGCACAGAAGCUAUACUGUUCAAAUCAUUUUUAAAGAUAAAUAAGCUAUUCUGACAGUGACCUCAAACCCAACUAUUUUUAGUCUGAAGGAAGUCAACUCUUCUUCUCCAGCCCUAAAGAUUUUUUAACAAGUUUUGUUAUUCCUUCUUCAAUGGUUCAUCAUCAUCUUGGGUUCAUCCUGAGUCAUCAUCAGCCCCAAAGAACACUUUUUAAAGAAGAAGUGAGCAAAUGAAGCUCACCGCUGUCCUCAGAAUAUCUCCCCCAUUUGCUACUACUACCCUGUUUCCCCGAUAAUAAGACAGGGUCUUAUAUUAAUCUUU
Anolis carolinensis (green anole) is the source of this 1549-nucleotide long non-coding RNA. RefSeq lists it as uncharacterized. The record is from RefSeq and is a predicted model, not a curated record. NCBI's taxonomy places the organism in Eukaryota, Metazoa, Chordata, Lepidosauria, Squamata, Anolidae. The transcript is spliced from 2 exons.